UACACCGCUAAUGGGCCUAUGUGGACUCCAACCGAAGAUACAGGCCCACUUUCAGGGAAAAGCCCAGAAGCCCAUGAACGCUGUUCUUGUUGUUCGAGGAACCGAUCCUCCGGAACCCGUAGCGCUCCGUGACAACAUACCACUGCCACGCCCACUGUCACGGCGGAGAUAACCACCGACACUACAUUCGUCCAAAGAGCCACCGAGACGGUGGCGAAGCUUAGCCCGACUAGAGCUUCGCAGUCGGUGAACACGCGGCCGAAGAUCACGAGCUGCUGCUCCGGCUUCCGGAGAAUGUAGAGGAAGAGCCACGCGCCGGCGAUGGAACCAAGGAGGAGGAGCGUCAAGGGACGACUGAGGAGGGAAGCGGCGAGUACAACCGCCACCACGAUGACGUAGUUGACACGGAAGUAGGACGUGUUCUUGCGGAUUCUGGAGUAGGCUUCGGCGAGCGAUUUCGGCACGGAGAUGGCGCUCCGGUCGGCGAGUUCUGUCCAAGGGCGGCGCUUCGCGUGGCGGUGGAGGCGCGUA
Molecule: non-coding RNA, 531 nt
Organism: Lupinus albus (white lupine)
Lineage: Eukaryota; Viridiplantae; Streptophyta; Magnoliopsida; Fabales; Fabaceae
Source: the annotation of a GenBank genome assembly